RNAcentral lists this ribosomal RNA (3048 nucleotides) under Providencia huaxiensis. RNAcentral describes it as "bacterial LSU rRNA". It matches the Rfam family "Bacterial large subunit ribosomal RNA". The record is from RNAcentral. Lineage: Bacteria; Pseudomonadati; Pseudomonadota; Gammaproteobacteria; Enterobacterales; Morganellaceae.
GGGUUGUGAGGUUAAGCGACUAAGCGUACACGGUGGAUGCCUAGGCAAUCAGAGGCGAUGAAGGACGUGCUAAUCUGCGAUAAGCGUCGGUAAGGUGAUAUGAACCGUUACAACCGACGAUUUCCGAAUGGGGAAACCCAGUGCAAUUCGUUGCACUAUCGUUUGAUGAAUACAUAGUCAAACGAAGCGAACCGGGGGAACUGAAACAUCUCAGUACCCCGAGGAAAAGAAAUCAACCGAGAUUCCCCUAGUAGCGGCGAGCGAACGGGGAGCAGCCCAGAGUCUUAAUCAGCAUUAGCAUCAGGAGAACGGUCUGGAAAGUCCGGCAGUAAAGGGUGAUAGCCCCGUAUCCGAAGGUGUUAGUGUUGUGAACUCGACGAGUAGGGCGGGACACGUGUUAUCCUGUCUGAAUAUGGGGGGACCAUCCUCCAAGGCUAAAUACUCCUGAUUGACCGAUAGUGAACCAGUACCGUGAGGGAAAGGCGAAAAGAACCCCGGCGAGGGGAGUGAAAUAGAACCUGAAACCGUGUACGUACAAGCAGUGGGAGCCCCACCACCAAAGCAUUUUCUGGUGUUGAGGACAACUUUGAAGUGGCAUUCAACACGCGUUGACGGAGCGCUUUUUGCGACGUCCAACACACAAAACAAGCAGUGAAUGUGCUUUGGGGUGGGGUGACUGCGUACCUUUUGUAUAAUGGGUCAGCGACUUAUAUUCUGUAGCAAGGUUAACCGUAUAGGGGAGCCGUAGGGAAACCGAGUCUUAACUGGGCGAAUGAGUUGCAGGGUAUAGACCCGAAACCCGGUGAUCUAGCCAUGGGCAGGUUGAAGGUUGGGUAACACUAACUGGAGGACCGAACCGACUAAUGUUGAAAAAUUAGCGGAUGACUUGUGGCUGGGGGUGAAAGGCCAAUCAAACCGGGAGAUAGCUGGUUCUCCCCGAAAGCUAUUUAGGUAGCGCCUCGUGAACUCAUCUUCGGGGGUAGAGCACUGUUUCGACUAGGGGGUCAUCCCGACUUACCAACUCGAUGCAAACUACGAAUACCGAAGAAUGUUAUCACGGGAGACACACGGCGGGUGCUAACGUUCGUCGUGAAGAGGGAAACAACCCAGACCGCCAGCUAAGGUCCCAAAGUCAUAGUUAAGUGGGAAACGAAGUGGGAAGGCUCAGACAGCCAGGAUGUUGGCUUAGAAGCAGCCAUCAUUUAAAGAAAGCGUAAUAGCUCACUGGUCGAGUCGGCCUGCGCGGAAGAUGUAACGGGGCUAAACUAUGCACCGAAGCUGCGGCAGCGAUAUUUAGAUAUUGUUGGGUAGGGGAGCGUUCUGUAAGCCUGUGAAGGUGUACUGUGAGGUAUGCUGGAGGUAUCAGAAGUGCGAAUGCUGACAUAAGUAACGAUAAUGCGGGUGAAAAACCCGCACGCCGGAAGACCAAGGGUUCCUGUCCAACGUUAAUCGGGGCAGGGUGAGUCGACCCCUAAGGCGAGGCAGAAAUGCGUAGUCGAUGGGAAACGGGUUAAUAUUCCCGUACUGGUGAUAAUUGCGAUGGGGGGACGGAGAAGGCUAGGCUAUCCGGGCGACGGUUGUCCCGGUUUAAGAAUGUAGGCAGGUGAAUUAGGCAAAUCCGGUUCACUACAUGCUGAGGUUCGAUGACGAGUCACUACGGUGAUGAAGUAGCUCAUGCCCCGCUUCCAGGAAAAGCCUCUAAGCUCUAGAUUAUCAUUAAUCGUACCCCAAACCGACACAGGUGGUCAGGUAGAGAAUACUCAGGCGCUUGAGAGAACUCGGGUGAAGGAACUAGGCAAAAUGGUGCCGUAACUUCGGGAGAAGGCACGCUGGCGCUAGGUGAAGUCCCUCGCGGAUGGAGCUGAAGCCAGUCGCAGAUACCAGCUGGCUGCAACUGUUUAUUAAAAACACAGCACUGUGCAAACACGAAAGUGGACGUAUACGGUGUGACGCCUGCCCGGUGCUGGAAGGUUAAUUGAUGGGGUUAUCCGUAAGGAGAAGCUCUUGAUCGAAGCCCCAGUAAACGGCGGCCGUAACUAUAACGGUCCUAAGGUAGCGAAAUUCCUUGUCGGGUAAGUUCCGACCUGCACGAAUGGCGUAAUGAUGGCCAGGCUGUCUCCACCCGAGACUCAGUGAAAUUGAACUCGCUGUGAAGAUGCAGUGUACCCGCGGCAAGACGGAAAGACCCCGUGAACCUUUACUAUAGCUUGACACUGAACAUUGAGCCUUGAUGUGUAGGAUAGGUGGGAGGCUUCGAAGCGUGGACGCCAGUCUGCGUGGAGCCAACCUUGAAAUACCACCCUUUAAUGUUUGAUGUUCUAACGUUGCCCCAUUAUCUGGGGUGCGGACAGUGUCUGGUGGGUAGUUUGACUGGGGCGGUCUCCUCCCAAAGAGUAACGGAGGAGCACGAAGGUUGGCUAAGCAUGGUCGGACAUCAUGCGGUUAGUGCAAAGGCAUAAGCCAGCUUGACUGCGAGAGUGACGGCUCGAGCAGGUACGAAAGUAGGUCUUAGUGAUCCGGUGGUUCUGAAUGGAAGGGCCAUCGCUCAACGGAUAAAAGGUACUCCGGGGAUAACAGGCUGAUACCGCCCAAGAGUUCAUAUCGACGGCGGUGUUUGGCACCUCGAUGUCGGCUCAUCACAUCCUGGGGCUGAAGUAGGUCCCAAGGGUACGGCUGUUCGCCGUUUAAAGUGGUACGCGAGCUGGGUUUAGAACGUCGUGAGACAGUUCGGUCCCUAUCUGCCGUGGGCGUUGGAAGAUUGAAAGGGGCUGCUCCUAGUACGAGAGGACCGGAGUGGACGCACCACUGGUGUUCGGGUUGUCAUGCCAAUGGCAUUGCCCGGUAGCUAAGUGCGGAAGAGAUAACCGCUGAAAGCAUCUAAGCGGGAAACUUGCCUUGAGAUGAGUCUUCCCUGACCCUUUAAGGGUCCUAAAGGAACGUUUAAGACUAAGACGUUGAUAGGUUGGGUGUGUAAGCAUAGCGAUAUGUUGAGCUAACCAAUACUAAUGAACCGUGAGGCUUAACCUGACAACACCGAAGGUGUUUUAG